Molecule: long non-coding RNA, 359 nt
Filed under: Glycine max (soybean)
Lineage: Eukaryota; Viridiplantae; Streptophyta; Magnoliopsida; Fabales; Fabaceae
Description: long non-coding RNA (GMAX_LNC003757)
Source: RNAcentral
AAAUUGGAAAUCUCUCCAAGUUGCAGCAUCUUGAUCUCAGCUACAAUUAUUUUGAAGGAAGUAUACCGUCCCAACUUGGGAACCUUUCAAAUUUGCAGAAGCUUUAUCUUGGAGGAAGUGUACCGUCCCGACUUGGGAACCUUUCAAAUUUGCUGAAGCUUUAUCUUGGAGGAGGAAGUGUACCGUCCCGACUUGGGAACCUUUCAAAUUUGCUGAAGCUUUAUCUUGGAGGAGGAAGUGUACCGUCCCGACUUGGGAACCUUCCAAAUUUGCUGAAGCUUUAUCUUGGAGGCCGAUCAUAUUAUGGUGGUGCUCUCAAAAUUGACGAUGGAGAUCGUUGGCUGUCUAAUCUCAUUUCU